UCCUACGGGAGGCAGCAGUGGGGAAUUUUGGACAAUGGGCGCAAGCCUGAUCCAGCCAUGCCGCGUGCGGGAAGAAGGCCUUCGGGUUGUAAACCGCUUUUGUCAGGGAAGAAAUCUUCUGAGUUAAUACCUCGGGAGGAUGACGGUACCUGAAGAAUAAGCACCGGCUAACUACGUGCCAGCAGCCGCGGUAAUACGUAGGGUGCGAGCGUUAAUCGGAAUUACUGGGCGUAAAGCGUGCGCAGGCGGUUAUGUAAGACAGAUGUGAAAUCCCCGGGCUCAACCUGGGAACUGCAUUUGUGACUGCAUAGCUUGAGUGCGGCAGAGGGGGAUGGAAUUCCGCGUGUAGCAGUGAAAUGCGUAGAUAUGCGGAGGAACACCGAUGGCGAAGGCAAUCCCCUGGGCCUGCACUGACGCUCAGCAC
Molecule: ribosomal RNA, 424 nt
Filed under: uncultured bacterium
Lineage: Bacteria
Description: bacterial SSU rRNA
Rfam family: Bacterial small subunit ribosomal RNA
Source: RNAcentral